AUGACAACAAAAAUUGUUACUACCGGUCUCAACACAGAGCACACAAAGCUAGCACUAAUCAAUUUGAGUACUACUGAUUAUUGGACGGAGAAUGCCAAGUUAGAAAGAGCCAAUCGAAGAAGCUUGCUCUUGCCGCCGCUGAUGCUUCUCUUGCUGCUUGCCGAACUGGCUGCUCCUUGGUUGGUGCUGCUACCUCCCAGGUGUGUGGAUGCCAUCGGCCGGCUAGCUGCCGGGAAGGAGACGAGCCGAGCCGACCGCCACUUAUCUGCUCUGCUUCCCAACAAAUCGGCCGCAUCUGACCUGCCAUCAUUGCUGCUGGGUGAGAGGAACGGGAGGAGGGAGCAAUCAGCUGCUGCUUGA
RNAcentral lists this ribosomal RNA (360 nucleotides) under Triticum aestivum (bread wheat). RNAcentral's name for it is "partial small subunit ribosomal RNA". The record is from RNAcentral. Lineage: Eukaryota; Viridiplantae; Streptophyta; Magnoliopsida; Poales; Poaceae.